RNAcentral lists this long non-coding RNA (8665 nucleotides) under Sus scrofa (pig). Its description in RNAcentral is "lncRNA (ENSSSCG00050041077.1)". Lineage: Eukaryota; Metazoa; Chordata; Mammalia; Artiodactyla; Suidae. The record is from RNAcentral.
GGGCCACACCUGCAGCAUAUGGAGGUUCCCAGGCUAGGGGUCAAAUCGGAGCUACAGCUGCCAGCCUACGCCACAGCCACAGCAACUCAGGAUCUGAGCCAUAUAUCUAUGACCGACACCACAACUCACAGCAACGCUGGAUCCUUACCCACUAGGCGAAGUCAGGGAUCAAACCCACAACCUCAUGGUUCCUGGUUAUUUUCGUUUCUGCUGAGCCUGAUGGGAACUCCUGCAGUCUUAGAUAUGUACACGUACAUUUUGCAUCUCCGUGGGGACAUGUUCAGCAUUUCUCACACUUGUUUGACCUCAGAAUCCCCUGCUAUUUUAUGGAACUUAUAUUAAUAUCUCAUAGAUAUGGUAUUCCAAAAGGAGCCACAUUCUCUUUCCUGACAUAAAUUUUAGAAAGGCUAGGUAAAUGGAAUAAUGAAUGGAGAGAGAAAACACCAGCUGGCCAUGGCUUUGACCCCACACCUGGCACUUCCUUGUCUUCUGGGUUCAUCACUGAAUAAGCAUGAGUGAUCAAUCUCUAACGUUUUGUUCAAUCAUUUGCAGAGCUACCCUCAUAGCACCACGAAAAAGCAUGAGGGUCCUUCUCUCCAGCAAUGAUCAGUUCAGGCUAAGCCUUGGUGCUGAAAGUGGGAGAAAAGGCAGGGAGAGCCCUGUAAAACCGGAGGAGCUCAUGGAGUGAAGAUUAUUUACACUGUGUGCCUACACCAGGGGGGGUCCACUAAAAUUUACUAUCUCAUCCUAGUCUUUGAGAUAUGCUUAAAGACCCAGAGUUCAGGUUGCUUUAGUGGGUCAUUCUGUGUCUGAUGGAUGCACCUGCCCGCUCUCUCCCGCACCAGAGCAGAACACAAAACACUGUCACAUCCAAUGUGAUGGGAUCACAUGUCUUCAGACCCUUUUUAUGAGGGUGACGCUCUAAAAUGCCAUCAUUAUUCACUAUUAUUUAAGGAGGAGGAAGGAGAGGCACGGAAGGGAAGUUUUACCCCUCAGAGGGAAAGCCUCAGGUGAACCUUCUGGCUACCAGAAUAUAUCGUUCAGAAUAUACAGUGGGUAGAGAAGAUACCUUGCAAUUACGACAUCAAAACAAAUUAAUUCCUACCAUGUCCCACGUCCAGCUGAGUCAGACUGCCCUAUCCUCAGAGUCAGAAAUGUAUAACAAGUCAGUCAAGUCAUUAACAGGUUAUGCAUUUUGCAAUGUCACUGACCAGAAUGUUUAGUGAAUGAGUAAAAUUAACCUAACUUCCAACACGAAUUUUGCAUCUUUCCAUGUAAAGGUACUUAUACCUCUUUUCAUAUUUCCAAAUACUCCUGUCAAGCACACUCUGUUUUAACAAUAAACAGACUUAUGGAAUAACUUAAGUUUGUAUUGCGCUUUACAGUUUACUAAGUACUUUCAUGUACAGGUCUUCUUUUAUCCUCAGUAUAAUUCUGAUGGAUCUUAGUGUCUUCAUUUUCUGAUGUAGGAAUUAGGAUUAUUGCUAAACUAAUAUCCAGCAGAGACUGAACCCCAGACUCUGAUUCCAGAUUUAGCCUGUCAGUUCCCCACAAUUGGCACUGAAGGAUUUCCCUUCUAAGCCCACGGCAAUCUCAAUUCUUUUCUAUACUCCUUGUUCCAUGUACUAAUAAAAUUCCAAGCACAUUUCUGGAAACUAUAUUCUUUUUCUAGUUACUCCAUGUGUCUCUGCCUCCUCUACCCAAUUCAAACACAAGCCUUUGGUGACACUGUACUUUCAGGGACCCCUGAAGAACGUUCCUUCCCUCUAGACCCCAUUCAACCAGGUUUAACCCUCGGCGACAGAACCCAGCACAAGCCAGGAGGGGCGCCUUCCCACCCCUCACAAACUCUGCCUUUCUCAAGCCUCGUCCUUGAGUAGGGAAGAGUCUCUCCCGUGUGCUGUGUGUUGCUGGAACACCAGCUGACGUCCGGGGUGGACGCACACCACUGCCCUCUGCUGCAGGUGUCCGUUUAUCAUACGUCUCCCACUUGACCUUGGUCAUCUUGAGAAGGGAGACCUUGGGUCACUUUUUUCUUUGAAUCCCCAGAACCUCAUACACGGUAGGUUGUCACUAAUUAAUAAAUAUUUUAAUUUAAAAAGUAACCCGAGAUCAAUUAAGGCAGUUAGUGUCUUUGAGAGGUUCCCAGUCUCACAGGGAAGAAAAACAUAUACACAGACUACAGCCAAUAACAUGAGGCACUGUACCUCCGGGGUACAGAUGGGUUCAAGGGGCUCUGGGAGCACAGACAGGUAGGGACCCAAGGCAGUUGGCCCUCAGAGACAGUGAAGUUGGGCAGAAACUUCAAGAAGAGUAGACACUCUCAGCCAAGGUGCAUAGAGCUGACAGGAAAAGGGUGGGAGUGGGUGGCGAACAGGGGUAGCAGGCGAUUCAGGGGUUUGGUUUGGGGGGCAGCAUAGCAGCCCCUUCUCUGGGGGAGCUGCCGCUCUCUUCAGCCAAUCUUGUGGUUCUAAUAGUAUCUGCUCAUGAUAUCUCGUUCCCCUGGCCAGGAAGACUUCCCAAAGGUUUUGCGAAUGUCUUCGGGCUCACAGAAGAAACAGAAUGAGAAAAUAAAACUGGCCCAGAGAGAUAAGCCAAGGAGAAAGUUGGUGGAAGUGCGUUGUGGAAGCACCCCAGUCCCUGAUCCAGUGGUUUCUGGAAUCUGGUGCACCUCUGCCGUUCCUAAAGUCUGGUUUUCUACCUCAGCUGAGUCAAGCUGGGUUUCUGCCACUUGCAAACACAAGAAUCCUGAUCAAUGCUAAGACCUUAAAAAAAAUCUCCCACAACACGCACAGAGGUAGGCACAAAGUAGCUACUCAAUAUUUUACUCCUCAAACAGACCUAUUUCCAUCAUCGAGUUCAACCUCUUUAUUUAAAGAUGGGGACACAGGCUUACAUAAUUUCCCCAAGAGGUUCUACAAAAGAGUUUACAUCAGAACCUGAACUUUUCUCAGACCAGUGUUCAAUACACACAGACUGCUUCCUUUGUUGUUUGCUGGCUAAUAAGCCUCAAAGGGUUCCUAUUUGGUGGGGGAAAAAAAGGAAGAAAAAAAUCAAAAUGGACAAAAAAUUCCUGAAAGGACUGUAAAGUGAUGACAUUAUUGUUUUUUAGUUAAUUCUGUACCAAAUAGUCCCUGACAUGCACCUGCCUCUGGGGUAGGUGGAUAUUUUGAGACAAGGCACCCUCCUUGACCUCAAGGAGUUCACCAAGCAGAGUGAGGAGACUGCACAGGCUAUCAGAGCUCACAGACGCUCAAAUGAGCCAUCUGGGAGAAUAUGCACUUGUUAUGUUUGCAAGUGCUGGUAAGUCUCUUUUGAACCAGUUAUGAGCCAAACAAAAGUGUCACCUCAUAAUUUCAUAGCUGCAUUUAAAUUCAUGUUAAUCAAAAAUAGUACCAUUUCAGCUGGACCAACUGGAUACGGCACUUGGUUUUUAGAAAAUGCAAAAAAGCCUCCAAAGACAAUGGUUUCCUCCUACUAAGUAUAUUCAAAAGAAAAGGCGAUGGGUUCUGAGGUCUACUGUCAAAUAGGAGGUUCGAAGAUGUUUCGCCCAAGGCUAGGCAGCAUCACUGCCCUGAAGGGAACAGCACUAUUCAGGAAGGGUAAAUGUUUAUGAUGCAUUGUUAAAAUAAUGAAUUCUAGAGUUUACAUUACCUUUCCAGACAGGCAUAUAUCUGCCUAGAGGCAGGUGCCAGUAUCACCUGAAGUCACCUUGCAUCUCUUCCCUCCAGCUCUGAUUCUGCCACCGCUUACACUGGUUUUCUCUAAGUCUGCGAUGGGCUGGAGAGCUAUUUCCGUCCUAGUUCUUCUCCUUAUAUAGGUCAAAUCCCAUUCCAAUGAGCACCAUAACAAUAACCACCUCAUGGCCUGGUUAUUUUAGACAGCCUGAUAAAAUGAGAAUUAAGCAUGACCUCCCAGCCAGAGUCGGCUGUUAGAGAACUUGACCUGAAUAUUAUUUAAGCAAGGAGGCAGCCAGUUUCUUAUGUUUUUAUCUUUGUGGCCCUGGGGCAUGGCAAAACAGUCAGACAGAGGUACAGAAUCAUCAUCAGUGAGUCCAAACCACAGUACUCAGUUCCCAUUGUGGCUCAGCAGGUUAAGAACCCAGCUAGUAUCCAUGAGGAUGCGGGUUUGGUCCCUGGCUUUGCUCAGAGGGAUAAGGCUUUGGCAUUGCUGUGGCUGCGGCGUAGGCCAGAAGCUGCAGCUCCCAUUCAACCCCUAGCCUCGGAACUUCCAUAGGCCGCAGGUGCAGCCCUAAAAUGAAAAAUUAAAAAAUCAAAAAUUAAAAAAAAAGAAUCUCCAUGUUCUGUCCACUCCAGCCAAAGGAACUGUUCAUCCUAAUUCAGGUUAUAAAUAAGCCCUCUUGUCACACUGGGCAUCUCCAACCUGAGGUUUUUUCCCCUCUAUUCUUUCCCAGUAGGGCUGGAUUCCUGUGUCUUUUUGCAUGUGUUGCUGUUUCUUAGAACGAAGCCCUGGCUGUCACACUCGCCAAUGCUCCUCCACAAGAAGGUAAAUUCCCCCAGGAUAGAGCUUCGUUUGUUCGGCUUCCAGCUCUGUGUAACAUCUGAAUCCUCUUGCUAGAAAGCUUGCUGCACAAGAAUGUGAAAUGUCAUGUCUAGAACAGUGCCUGGCAGACAGUAAAUGCUCCAUCACUGUUCGCUAAAGGGUGCAAGUCCAACGCCAUCCCUUCCUCUCCCGGAGCAGUCAAGGGUCUCUCCUCUGACCUUGUUGUCCUGUUAGCGUCUCUCUGUUCUGACAGUAUGGGAUGCCCUACUCAUGCUCUAUCAGUUUUCCCAGCUGAACUGGAAAAUACUAUGUUUGAUAGCUCCAUGUCUUCUGUGCCUGAAACAGUAAGAGUUCGCUCACUGCUUAUUGCUUCAAUGAUUGAAAGAAUGAAUUAAAAUGUUUCUUUGGUAACAAUCAAGGCUGAGGAUUUAUGACUUAACAUCAUGCCUCAAGUUUGGCCUGGACUCCAGCGCUUUCCAAGCCGAAGCAGCCGUGAGUCACCGGGCUGGGCAGGGAGGGGAGGGGAGUUUGUUUGCGGAGGACUUGUUUCCCGACCUCGAUGAAUCACAUGUAUAAUCACCCCAACUGCAUCCUGUCUGGGGAAGUAACCAAAAUCCCUAUUUCUGGCCUUAAUGGCUUUUUGGUUUUAUGAGUAAAUGCCACUGGCAUGCCAUUAAAUAAAUGCCCUCGGAAAGCCCUCAGCCAGUGCUGUGACCUGUGACAGGCAGGUUGUUGAAGAGCAGCCUUGGGAAUGGAGCACAAGACCAAAGAAGUAGGCUAUGCGUCCCACCUGGACCGUCGCUCUCAGAGCUACCUGGCGACCUUGCUUCUGAGUUCUUUCCAAACAUCUGUUAGGCUCUUUUCUGGUAAAUCACAGGUAUGAUCAGGCCAUUCUCCUACAGAAAAAUAUGCAGUGGUUCUCAUCAUCUCCAGAAGACAGACCAAACUUUUUCACCUAGAACACCAUCUAUAUCCUGGCUCUGACCUACUUCACCCACUUUUCCUUCCCACGCCCCCACAUAACUAGAUGCUCCAAACAGAAUGACUUUCUGAUCACAUAUAAUCCUAUUCUUUGCUCUAUGACUUUGUUUCCUGCUUCCUCCUCGUAUGUCCACCCCCUACCACUUCCAGAUGUCUAAAGAAAUGCCACACCCUCCACAAUAUCAUCCGCAGCUGUCCAAUAAGAAAGAAUAAAGUCUCCUUCAAGGACGCUCAGAUUCCAUUGGGGCUGCCCUUCCACUAUCUCUAAUGUGCUUGGGAAACAUGUAUGUGCAUGUUCGUUUCUCUAGUAAAUCAUUUCCGGACGAAUAUCUGAAUCUUAGUCAAUGUGAUGUUCCUUUGACUCCUAGCAGUGCUGGCCACAGUGGACACUCCAAAUAAAAGUUAGCUGAGUGGAAAAAGAGAACGAGUUCCACUGUUCAAAUCCUCAUCUUUGAGAAUCUUCAGGAAAGGUGUGACAUAGAAGUUUCUUAUUCUCACUCUCCUAUUUUAUCCCUUACCUCCUCUCCAAGAGAACACAAGAUUAAGAAAACCUUUGGUCUCUGCAAAUAACUUGGUUUUAUAUCCAUGAAGCCUCAAGGCCAGUUAUCUGUUCUAGACGUUCUUCCUCCUGAUAGCCAGCACCUCAGGGCCCACCUUGCUAGUAAGGCAGAACAACUUCAGAGGAAAAAACAGAAUUUUGGUCAUUAACUGAGUCAAACAAAAAGAUAGCUGAGAGGGUAUCUGUCAUUUCAAAGAGCAAACUUUUAAAAAGAUAGCAUAUUCUAAAAACAAAGACUUUUCUGUUACUGGCUGUUUGGGAAUAUCCACGCCCCAGUGCCAAUGUCAGGGUGGGCAUACUCGUUCAGUGUGGAUAAGUGAGAGCUGAAGCAAUAAAGCUUAGCUUUGUCUGAUCGCAAAGCAGUGCAGUCUCCUUUCUGUUGGUUGGAAUGACUGCUUAUGAGAACAGGGAUAUAGAAGCAGAACAGGGUUAAAAUCACCUAGGGCGAGGUCAGAGAACGAGAGAACGGAACGUCAAGCAUUUUGCUUCCUCUGCUGUCUUUGGGCAAUGACCACUUCUGAGCAGAUGAGAGAUGGACGGCCACCACUGCAGCUUGAGAGCCACCUCGACACGCUGCCAUCAGGGCAACGCCCUUCCCUCCCCAGGUGUCAUCCUGCCACACCACGUAAUGGCUGAAGGACCACAGAAAAGCCUGCAAUGUCUUCGCCUGCGAGGUGAGGAUGACGCCUCUGACAAGGUACCAGUGUUAGAUCUUAUAAACUGUAAAGUACUGCUUCGAUAUUAGUUGUUGGUGCAAAUUCAGAGGUUUUUCCUAUUACCCUACACCUGGGGUCAGCAAACAACUUCUCUAAAGGGCCAAGUAAGAACAAUUGCAGGCUGUGUGGGCCAUGUGGCUCUAUGGUAACUACUCAACUCUGUCUGCCUCUACAGCAGGAAAGCGACCCCUGACAACAUGCAAAUGAAGGCAUGUGCUUUGUUCCCAUCAAAAUUUACAGAAACCAUGGUAGACGGGACUUGGCCAUAUUUGCAAAUCCCCGCCCUACACCUUUGGAGUGAAUGAAACACCAGAGGCAGACAGAGGGGCAUAUCUAAACUCUUUCCCAGUGGGAAGAGUGGCAUGUCAGUUUUCGUGAACAACUGUCCUGAGCCUGGCAGACCUCCCUUUAAGGCACUUCUGGAAAUCAGAGUUUUAGUUUUGUGCAUUAUACCACCAUGGCCAUCUUCAGCAUUGUCAACCUCAUUCUGCACCUCACUGAGAAGUGUUACUGACACAGGCAUAAAAGAACCCUAGUUUUCUAUACCUACCACUUGACCACACUCUUCUGGGAAAGACAGCUCUGAUUAUUGUUAAAGAAAAUAUCAAUCAUACUUGUGGUGAAAGGUCGCUACAUUUUUUAACAAAUUGGUCCUUUGAGCAAGAUGAAUUUUAAUGGAUUGGUUUAUUAACCUAAAGGUUGAACCAGACUGAGAGUAACUGAAUGAUUCGUUCAUAAUUAGUAUUAUUUAUAAUUAUUUUACUUGGGAAAAAAAUAUCACCUUAAAUGUCAGGAUGUUUUUUAAUUGCUUCAGAUGAGAUUCAAAAUAAUUGACUUUGCAAAUGUAUUUAAAAAAAAACUCAUUUAAAAUUAUCUGAAGCUGCUGAGAGUCUGUCUGGAAGGGGCAAGAUAUUGAUAUUCAUUACUAGGAACAGGGCAGAAAUUGAUUCAUGUUUUUUUUUUUUUAACCACAUGAAGUGUGUCCUGUGGUCACUGCUGGACAGAGCGGGGUUGCUGAUACGGGGAUGUGUAGGUUCCUCUUCCCCACCCAACCUGCUCUCUAAGUAAGUACGCUGUGUGACAGUCAGUGCACGUUUUUGCUUGCAUACAUAUCUGCAUGUAUUUUGUAUUAAAAGGCGGUAAGCAGAGGCUUGAAAAGAGAAAGGACAUAUACAUGUAUAUGCUUGGUGGUUUGAGGAAAAUACAGUCUCUGGCCAUAUGGUGCAUGUGUACAAGUGAUUUGGAUGGAAUACCAACGUGUUGAAGGUGAGUAGGGGUAUCACCUAGCAUCGCUGUAAGUAUUUAUCAGUUGAUUGGCAGAAAAGAAAAGGAGAGUACAUUAACACCUGGGGAAAGAAGGCUUUGAAACAAUUACAGUUGUGAAAUACAGGUAAAUCGCUAAGAAAAAACAUUCAGCAGCAGAACAAUAAUGAUACUUUGUAACAAUGCAACAACUGCAGAGAUACAAACUUUUCCUGUCUUCAUAUACAGCCUCAGGAGUGCCUCACAGCUUCCUUUGGAUGCAGGAGGGAAGGGUAGGAACAACUUCAUUUGAUAAAAGGUGAGAAGGUUCAGUGAAUUUGCCCCUGGAUUUGGAUUUGCCCCUGAUCUACACUGCCUUCCUCACAUACCACACUCAUCUGGAGCCUGCAGAAAGGGUGAAUGUGUCCACAGGUACCAAGGCCAAGUUCGGCAGCCUUCAGAAGUCGCCUGAACCAGCCUGACUCAGAGAGCAGAACCCAAAUCUCCCAUCUGAGACUUUUCAGGGAGCAAGUAACAAGUGGUCUGAAAAGAACACCCCAGGCAGGGAAUAUGGCGAUGGGAUUAUAAACACAGCCUCUCAGUCGCUUCUUCCAAGUAUAUUCAGUCUGAUCAUGUGCCUGAGACCUGGUGUGACAUUGACUAG